UAACAGCUGGUUCAUUUGCCAUGCACACAC
Molecule: non-coding RNA, 30 nt
Filed under: Mus musculus (house mouse)
Lineage: Eukaryota; Metazoa; Chordata; Mammalia; Rodentia; Muridae
Source: RNAcentral